GUGGGGAAUUUUGGACAAUGGGCGCAAGCCUGAUCCAGCGACGCCGCGUGGAGGACGAAGGCCUUCGGGUUGUAAACUCCUUUUGGAGGGGAAGAAUAAAUUGACGGUACCCUCAGAAAAAGCCACGGCUAACUACGUGCCAGCAGCCGCGGUAAUACGUAGGUGGCGAGCGUUACUCGGAAUUACUAGGCGUAAAGCGUAUGUAGGUGGUUAGAUAAGUCUAUGGUGAAAUUUCCUGGCUUAACUGGGAAGGGACAUAGAGACUAUCUGGCUUGAGUGUGGGAGGGGGAGACGGAAUUCCUGGUGUAGCGGUGAAAUGCGUAGAUAUCAGGAGGAACACCGAUGGCGAAAGCAGUCUCCUGGCCCAAUACUGACACUGAGGUACGAAAGCUAGGGUAGCAAACAGGAUUAGAAACCCCUGUAGUCC
RNAcentral lists this ribosomal RNA (427 nucleotides) under uncultured bacterium. RNAcentral describes it as "partial 16S ribosomal RNA". It matches the Rfam family "Bacterial small subunit ribosomal RNA", at positions 354 to 796 of the family's 1533-position model. The record is from RNAcentral.